This is a long non-coding RNA of Oryza sativa Japonica Group (Japanese rice), 204 nucleotides long. RefSeq lists it as uncharacterized. NCBI's taxonomy places the organism in Eukaryota, Viridiplantae, Streptophyta, Magnoliopsida, Poales, Poaceae. The record is from RefSeq and is a predicted model, not a curated record.
AUCACUUCAUGACCAUGGUAGGGAUAGUGAUGAUGAUGAUUUCCGAGACAGGGAUUAUGAUGUGGCAGCUCUUGCUAAUAACUUGAGCCAGGCAUUCCGAUAUGUGAUAUAUAACAAUGAUGAUAUGGAAGAGAAUCAAGGGACACUUGAACGGGAUGAUGAGGAUGUCUAUUUUGAUGAUGAAUCAGCAGAGGUCGUAAUAUG